Molecule: long non-coding RNA, 1134 nt
Filed under: Homo sapiens (human)
Lineage: Eukaryota; Metazoa; Chordata; Mammalia; Primates; Hominidae
Description: HSALNT0132552
Source: RNAcentral
GGAGGAUGGGGGCAUUGAUUUCCUCCCAAUAUCAGAAGUUUCACAGGCUUCUUGUGUAUCCACAAACACCCACCCCAUUGAGAAGGCCUAGAAAAUCUGCCCCUCCCCAAGCCUUUAUUGACCGCUUGUGAAUGAUCUCAGGGUGUGUCUGACCCACAGCUCCUUCUGGAGACAGAGAAAAGUCUCUCCUAGGUAUUUGGUUGUCAACCUCAACUGCUUGCUGAGCCUUCCCCAAGACCAGGCACCUUGGCAGAGAUUUCUGGGUUGUCAGGCAGAACCGAGCAUUCGAGGGUGAUAACUCACUGGAGUCCCUGAAAUCCCUGAUGGACGCACCAGGUAAAAGCAUCCAGGGUUGAAACCAGAUCAGGAAGGUUAUUGUCAGCCUGAGGCUCCUGUAGAGGUGCAUCCACGUUGCAGGUAUUUUCCUUCUUGCUGAGGAGAAACCUGGAUUUCUCAGCUUUGGCACAGUCACAACAUUUGGGGUGAGACCAUUCGUGGUGGUGGUGGGGGGGCAUCCUGUGUAUUGUAGGACGGUUAGCAGCAUCUGUGGUCUCCAUCCUCUAGGUGCCAUUCUACCCUCCCAGCUAUGGCUACCCCAGAUGUCUCCAGAUGGUUUCAAUGCUGUGGGGCAAGGGAGUGGUACGUGAGCAAAACCACCCCAGUUGAGAGCCAUUGGUCUACACUUGUGGAAAUGUUUGAGGGUGAGAGUGUCGAGCUUGGGUCCCUGCUGUACCCUUUAUGAGCAAUGCGGUCUUGGAAAAUUAAUACUACUCCAGGGGCCUCAGUUUUCUCAUCUAUAAAAUGGAGAUAAAUGAGAUACACUUUCAUAGGAAAGUUAUAUGGGAUUUACUGAGAUAAUAAGACAGUACAUGGAAAAUACUGGGCAUAGCCUUUAUUUAUUUAAUUUUUUUUUAAGACAGAGUCUUACUCUGUUACCCAGGCUGGAGUACAGUGGCAUGAUCUCUGCUCACUGCAACCUCCACGUCCUGGGCUCAAGUGAUUCUCCUGCCUCAGCCUCCAGAGUAGCUGGGAUUACAGGUGCCCACCACCACACCUGGCUAAUUUUUGUAUUUUUAGUAGAGAUGGGGUUUCACCAUGUUGGGCAGGCUGAUCUCAAACUUCUGACCUCAGGUG